CCUACGGGUGGCUGCAGUGAGGAAUAUUGGUCAAUGGACGCAAGUCUGAACCAGCCAAGUCGCGUGAAGGAAGACGGCCCUAUGAGUUGUAAACUUCUUUUGUCCGGGGGUAAACGCCGCUACGCGUGGCUUUCUGAAAGUACCUUACGAAUAAGGAUCGGCUAACUCCGUGCCAGCAGCCGCGGUAAUACGGAGGAUUCAAGCGUUAUCCGGAUUUAUUGGGUUUAAAGGGUGCGUAGGCGGUUGGAUAAGUUAGAUGUGAAAUUUCGAGGCUCAACCUCGGCAUUGCCUCUGAUACUGUUCGGCUUGAGAGUAGUUGAGGUAGGCGGAAUGUGUGGUGUAGCGGUGAAAUGCUUAGAGAUCAUACAGAACACCGAUUGCGAAGGCAGCUUACCAAGCUACUUCUGACGUUGAGGCACGAAAGCGUGGGUAGCAAACAGGAUUAGAUACCCGUGUAGUC
Molecule: ribosomal RNA, 460 nt
Filed under: uncultured bacterium
Lineage: Bacteria
Description: partial 16S ribosomal RNA
Rfam family: Bacterial small subunit ribosomal RNA
Source: RNAcentral